UACAGAGGGGGCAAGCGUUGUUCGGAAUUACUGGGCGUAAAGGGCGCGUAGGCGGCCUGUUAAGUCGAACGUGAAAUCCCCGGGCUCAACCCGGGAACUGCGUCCGAUACUGGCAGGCUUGAAUCCGGGAGAGGGAUGCGGAAUUCCUGGUGUAGCGGUGAAAUGCGCAGAUAUCAGGAGGAACACCGGUGGCGAAGGCGGCUUUCUGGUCUGUAACUGACGCUGAGGCGCGAAAGCGUGGGGAGCAAACAGG
This 253-nucleotide ribosomal RNA is filed under the name uncultured bacterium. Its description in RNAcentral is "partial 16S ribosomal RNA". It matches the Rfam family "Bacterial small subunit ribosomal RNA", at positions 524 to 776 of the family's 1533-position model. The record is from RNAcentral.